UAAAAUAAGGGUGUCUAUCGUAUCCCGAAUCCCGACAGUUAUUUUCGGCCCAUCCCAGUGUCCCGAAAAUACCCGUUCUCCCCCUCAUACAUAGUAGACCAUAUUGUCACAUUGAUGUUUUCUUUCAUUACAGUUAGACUUCGAGAUCUACAUUUUCGACAAAGGCCUGGUGUAAUAUUACAUACUUGAUGAAGGUUUAAUGACACGAAUGAGUACAAGUACAUUACAUUUUUCGACGAAGGCCUUCUGUAAUUUCAUACACUUCUUACGCAACAUUCAAUAGAUUUAUUUACUGUAUUAUCAUUUCGACCAAGGCGAAUUCGACACUUCAGUUACACAAGCACAAUCAAACUUAGUCAUUCCAGUCAGUUACUGAAGCACAGCGAAAACUGUCUGAAUUAGUGCUGCUGAUGGCAUGUAAUUACUCUACUACCACUACCAGUGACAGUCAAUGUCCAUAUAUUUUCAAGUGUGCGAAAUUAGUACUCGUCUACUUCUUAGUGUUAUUUGAAUGCAAUGUAUGUCAUAAAAAUAUUUUUUCAACACUAUAUCAACAUUCUCAUUCCUGUCAGUUUCUGAAAAUCAGCUAAAGCAAUCGCUACCAAUGCAGCUGAUAACAGCAAUUCUUUUUGUUCCCAAUGCCCAUCCAUGACAAUAUAUUUCACGCAUGUGACAAUCAUGUAAUCAUCCUGUUUUUUGUGUUCUAUUCAUGCAAUAAAUAAAUUCAGUAUUUUCAAAUCAUUGGUGCUACAAAACUAUUCUCAUUAUAUAUUAUUCAUAUUUUAUAAAAUGCUGUCAUGUCAAAUUUUGUGUCCUAUAAAUCAUUAUGAAGUCGGCAUUUUAUAUACAACUUUUGUACUCCUCCUAAAUAAACAUACAAAUCUUGUUUUAUGUAAACUUUGUAUACGUGACCCGUCACAGCAAAACCAGGCGCAUGUCGCUCUGAGCUUGGCAGGUUGAGACGGACUGUUCUAAUCUUUCAUUAGCGACACCAUUUCUUACCCGAGUGCCUCCUUCAUUCAUACAUCUUGUACUUUAACUCAAGAUACCCAUCUUUGAAUAUUUUUAGUAUACCAAGUACUACAAUGUCAAUGUAUUGAAGUCAUGUUCUUGUAGUGUUAUUGGCUUUCUACUAUUAUUUUGUCAAAAUACCACUUGGUUCUCGCAAAAUCUCAAUAAAAACAAAUGCUAUUGCAUGUAUUGCAUAUUCUAACAGCUAUCCACUGUAUCGAUUUAUCCAUCAUCUGUACUAUUUGUCACAAAAAUGUUAUAUUAUGUAAAUCAUAUUUCAUUACAUAAUGCACACUGCCAAUUACUGCUGAACCAUUCAUAUGUCAUUUAAAUAAAUAAUUUUCAACUUUUUAAAACCGUCUUAUAGUACUGUUCUUGUCACUUAGCUGAACCAAUUGCUCUAUAGCAUGAAAUUUCCAGAAAUGCCCCAGGGACUGAAAAGUGCUGUUUUAACAGAGAGGUGUCCUAAACUGAGAAGUCGAGUUGAAUGGAAACAACCAAUUUGGAACCAAAAACUACUGUCCUUAUUAAAGAGGUUGUCCUCAAUAGAAAGGUGUCCACAAAAAGUAGGUCCACUGUAUAUGAAAGUACAAACCCUGGUACAUGUAGUGACAUCAUCUACUCCUCGAUGUGGACACCUGCAAAUGCAGCGACAAUGUCACAUCAGUUAUUUAAUUCAUCGUCCUUUGUGCAGAUGGCACCACCCAUCA
This is a long non-coding RNA of Lineus longissimus, 1721 nucleotides long. RefSeq lists it as uncharacterized. The transcript is spliced from 4 exons. The record is from RefSeq and is a predicted model, not a curated record. NCBI's taxonomy places the organism in Eukaryota, Metazoa, Nemertea, Pilidiophora, Heteronemertea, Lineidae.